UCGCGGCCGCUCCUCCCUCCGCACGAACCAGCCGCUGUUCGCCUCUGUCCAGCCCCCGUCCGGCCACCUCCGGCCACCGCCUAGCCCCGCCAAACCACCCCCGCGACCCCCUCGCCCUCCGCCGGCUUCCCCUUGCCGCCCUAGCCGCCGGAGCAGCCCCGAUCGGCUCCGUCUAGCAGACCCACGGAGUGGGUUUCAGCAUCUUCGGGCCCGCUUUUGGGCCGUUUCCCAGCCCCGGAUCCGCGAGUCGCUUUGGGAACAAUCGUUCCUCGCGUCGCCGCCGUCGGAUUGAUCCGAUUUGCGCGCGAUUUGGUGAGUAAUCUCACUAAUCCUGUAUUAGUUUGCUAAUUAUGCUUAAGGUUGGUUUAGAUUUAAUUAAUUAUGUUUAGGUUGUUAGAUUUGAAUAAAUUAGCAAUUAUUAGUUAAUUGUGAUGCGAUUUAGAUAACUUGAUUGCGUAAUUAGCAAGUAGACGUGGUCUACUAAUUAUUGGAAGUGCUUCGGGAAUUUUCCCGACCCUUAGUGGGCUCCAAUUAGGCUUUUCGGGCCUAAGUGGAUAUUUUAGUAUUUAAUUAUUAAUUUUCGGAAUUGCAUUAAAUAAUUAUUUAUUUUCUGAAAAUUCAACUGAGAUGGCUCGGGACCGGAAUAUUGUGCUGAUGACCGUGGUGAAGUCCGUUUAUUUAAUCGGGCUUUAUUUUGAGCUAAAUUGAAUUUUUUAAUAUUAAUUUUAAUUUUCGAAAUUUAUAAAUUAAUUAAUUAUUUUUCGGAAAUUAAGAUUUUGAUGGCCGACGACCGAAAUCUCGUGCUGAUUGUCGUGGCGCAGUCCGUUUAUUUAUUUGAGCUCUACGUUGUAUGGAAUUGAAUAAAUUGUGAUAUUUUAGGGAUUUACCCUAAAUUGAUUGGAAUUGAUUGUGAUUGAAUUGUUGAUUGGUAAAUGGCCAAGUAUGUUAUUCAGUAUUUUAAUGCUUUGUUGAGUUGAUUUAAUUAUUUGAUUGAGAAAUCGUUGGGCGUUGGUUAUUGGUGUUGAAAGUAGAUUGGUGACCACUUGAAAGAGGACACGUGGGCCCGGUGAAUUGGAAUGUCACCUGGAGAAUGCACGUGAGUUCAGUGGUUGAAUAUGUCACCUUGGCGAAAAGGUCGCCUGAGAGAAUGCACGUGGCUUGGUGACAGAGGCUGGCAUCUAAAAGGGCACGUGGGCUCGGCGAAUUGAUGCAUCGCUUUGGUGAGAUGCACCUAAGAGAAUGCAUGUGGCUCGGUGACAGAGGCUGGCAUCUAAAAGGGCACGUGGGCUCGGCGAAUUGAUGCAUCGCUUUGGUGAGAUGCACCUAAGAGAAUGCACGUGGGCCCGGGCAUCUAAAAGGGCACGUGGGCUCGGUGACUUGAUGCAUCACUUUGGCGAAAAGGUCGCCUGAGAGAAUGCACGUGGGCCCAAGGUUCGAGGCACGUGAACUCGGAGACUUGGAAUGUCAUCCUGGAGAAUGCACGUGGCCUAGCUUUUAAAUAUCCCACAGCGGGGAUUGAUUUGCAUGACAUGAAAUCGACUAGUUCGAUUUGUUUGAAGCGAAUGGCUGUUUAUUGUGAAUUGUACUGACUUGCAGGUGAGAUCAGAGGCCAAGGUAAGUCCUCUGCCCUGUGCGUGUUUAGGCGGCCUUUAGUAUAAUAGUUUACUAAUCGGGCUUAGUGGGGUAGAACUCGCUGAGACGUAGUCUCAUCCCAGUUUGGGGAAACCAUUUCAGGACCCCGCUGAAGAGCUGUGGAGGAGGAAUCCGAGAAGGAGAACUCAGAGGAGAGAUCUGAAGAAAAGGAUUUUUGGAAGAAGAAGACAAUUAUGAGAGGGGCCUUGAGUACGGCCUAGUUCAUCUAAGUUUCUGUCUUCUUUUGAGAUCUCCAUUUUGAUGUGAAUAGUUAUGAAAGGGUUUGUGGUUUGUAUAAAAGUGUGGUUAUAAAUUUCAAUAUGAAAAAUAUGGCCCUGCUUUUCUAUCCCAUCGUUUUAUUGUCUGGGGAUUUUAACUGCUUCCGCAUGUGCUUAAAAAUGAAAGGGUCGGCGAUACAUUGUCCUGGGAUAUCGCAUUAUAAAAUCGACCAAAUAGAAGGAUGUGCACGUGCCCGAGGAUCGGGGCGUGACACAGUCAAUGGGAGAUUUCCAGCUUGUUCGUGUUCC
RNAcentral lists this long non-coding RNA (2159 nucleotides) under Eucalyptus grandis. RNAcentral's name for it is "long non-coding RNA (EGRA_LNC002291)". The record is from RNAcentral. Lineage: Eukaryota; Viridiplantae; Streptophyta; Magnoliopsida; Myrtales; Myrtaceae.